AUGGGGCCACAGCCACGCCUGCUCACCUUCCUGAUGCUCUGGGUCUCAGGUGUCUGUGGGGACAUCGUGAUGACCCAGUCUCCCAGCUCCGUGACUGCAUCUGUAGGAGAGAAGGUCACUAUCAACUGUAAGUCCAGCCAGAGUGUGUUAUCCAGCUCCAACCAGAAAAGCUACUUAAACUGGUACCAGCAGAGACCUGGACAGUCUCCUAGGCUGCUCAUCUACUAUGCGUCCACCCGGGAAUCGGGGAUCCCUGAUCGAUUCAGCGGCAGUGGGUCCACAACAGAUUUCACUCUCACGAUCAGCAGCGUCCAGCCUGAAGACGCGGCAGUGUAUUACUGCCAGCAGGCUUAUAGUGCUCCCUCACAGUGA
Molecule: non-coding RNA, 372 nt
Organism: Camelus dromedarius (Arabian camel)
Lineage: Eukaryota; Metazoa; Chordata; Mammalia; Artiodactyla; Camelidae
Source: the annotation of a RefSeq genome assembly